GGUAGCGUGGCCGAGGGGUCUUAAGGCGCUGGAUUUAGGCUCUAGUCUCUUUGGGGACGUGGGUUCAAAUCCCACCGCUGCCA
Molecule: transfer RNA, 83 nt
Filed under: Danio rerio (zebrafish)
Lineage: Eukaryota; Metazoa; Chordata; Actinopteri; Cypriniformes; Danionidae
Rfam family: tRNA
About the family: Transfer RNA (tRNA) molecules are approximately 80 nucleotides in length. Their secondary structure includes four short double-helical elements and three loops (D, anti-codon, and T loops).
Source: Rfam by way of RNAcentral